This 5834-nucleotide unclassified non-coding RNA is filed under the name Megachile rotundata (alfalfa leafcutting bee). Its description in RNAcentral is "ubiquitin carboxyl-terminal hydrolase calypso, transcript variant X4". Lineage: Eukaryota; Metazoa; Arthropoda; Insecta; Hymenoptera; Megachilidae. The record is from RNAcentral.
CAACUUUUCGGACGGGUUAAAGUACUUAAACAAAAUACCUAUUUUUAAUAAAAAACGAGCAAAAAAAGAGAUAAAAAAGAUUAAAAUUUAAACAAUUCUUUAAGCUUUUUUACCGCGUGAUUGGAUCACAUGAUAUGUGUUUUGAUGUAACAUGGCGUCUUUAAUUGUCAAGGCAUAAUAAAAUUUCUAGAAGGAUGUGAAAUUUUUCUAAUUUUUGAAUUUGAAACUCAACACAGAAUGCCAGUUGAUAUAAAUAGAUUAACUGAAGGUUGGUUAGAAUUGGAAAGUGAUCCAGGUUUAUUUACACUGCUGUUGGAAGACUUUGGGGUAAAGGGUGUGCAAGUGGAAGAAAUAUAUGAUCUGCAAAAAUCAUUAGAAGGUCCAGUAUAUGGUUUCAUAUUUUUGUUCCGUUGGAUAGAAGAGAGAAGAUCAAGACGCAAAGUAGUAGAACAAGAUGAGAGUUUUGUGAAAGAUGAAGAAAUCGUUAACAACAUAUUCUUUGCACAACAGGUGGUUCCCAAUAGCUGUGCAACCCAUGCAUUACUUUCAGUGUUACUUAACUGCCCAAAUAUUCAUUUGGGUACAACUUUAUCCAGAUUGAAGAUGCAUACAUCUGGAAUGUGUCCAGAAAAUAAAGGAUGGGCAAUUGGUAAUACACCUGAAUUGGCGUGUGCUCAUAACUCGCAUGCAAUGCCUCAAGCCAAAAGACGGCAAGAUAAAAAUACUGGAGUGUCAACUGGAAGAUUUACUGGGGAGGCUUUUCAUUUUGUCAGUUAUGUACCAAUCAAUGGUAGAUUAUUUGAAUUGGAUGGUUUAAAACCAUAUCCCAUGGAUCACGGUCCAUGGAAGGAACACGAAGAGUGGACGGAACAAUUUAGGCGCGUAAUUACGGAUAGAUUAGGAAUGGCAACAGGGGAGCAAUUACAAGAUAUAAGAUUUAAUUUAAUGGCAGUUGUUCCCGAUCGGCGACUUGCUAUUUCGCAUAAAUUAACCAUGUUAAAAACUAAUAGACAAAUAGUAUUAGAAGCAUUGCAACAACUUGUUAAAUUAAGCCAUCAAGAUGGAUCAGAGAAGAAUACAAAUGAUACCGAAAAAUUAGAUAAACCGCAUGAAAAGAAAAGUAAAAUUGAUGAUGAAAAUGCUUUGCCUAAUAAGUCGGAGAUCGAUGAAUCUUCUUCUAUACCAUCUGUUACUGUUGAAAGAAACAAUGAUGCCACGACAGAUACUGAGGAGCCAGCUUCAAAUAUAACUUCUGGGAAGACUGAAUCUAAAAUAAAUACAUAUUUCAGUGGUAUGGAAAAAGUAGUAAUGUGUGCAUUAGAUUAUGCCACGCCUCUUCAAAUACAAACUUCACCGGCACACAGUUCGUCUAGUACCGAUACGUCGUCCGAGAUUGGAUCUGCGUUUAAUUCACCCACACAAGCAUGGGGAUGGAAUUCAGGCCAGAACAGUCCAACGUCCACGAAAGAUUUUAAAAAGUUCGUUGUAAUCAGAGUCGCUGGAGACGAAAAGAAUGAGGCAGGUUUAAGUCGUUCUCUUGGGAAUAUUAAUAUAAAUGGAAAAAGAUUAGUUUCCGACAGUGGUCACUUACAUAAAAAAGUCUGCUUGUCGGGAGAAGUUAGAAUACCUCAUGCUAGAGUGAAAACGAGUAACGGGGAUACUGUUACCGAAGAGAAAAAAGUUGAGAAAAUCGAUCCAAAACUGUGCUCAAAAUACCCGGAAUUGUUUGAACCCCAUACGUUUGCACCCAAAGAUCUUUUAGCGUUGCUGAAGAACUUAGAACACGAAAUAAGUAUUUGUGAAACUAGCUUAAAAGAUGAGAACGACAAAAGGAACAAAUAUAAGAUUGACGAUUGUCGUAGAACGCAUAAUUAUGAUGAAUUUAUUUGCACGUUUCUUUCGAUGCUCGCUCAACAAGGAAAGCUAGCAGAGCUAGUGCAGCAGCAUUUAACUUUAAAGAAACAUACUUCUGUGUCAGUGAACAGAGUUCACAGAUCUUCGAAGAAAGCCGACACUCGCCCAAACUCUUCACGUAGACGUCGAGGUAGAACUAAAUGCAAGAAACGAAAAUAAUUUCCGUAUUGAACAUAAAUAAUUGGAGCUGUUAUCCCACCUAUUGAAUUGUCAAUAUUAAAACCUCAGAAUCGCAACAAGGACAUAGUUUUAAGAAGACAAGCAUGUAAAAAAGAUCAUACGACUGUUGAAACAAAAAGGGAUUGUAAAUUAUGUGUUACAUUUUACCAACCCAGUGUCAAUGACAUCGAACAAUCAGUACUUUAUUUAUUUUGCAAUGCAGACACUUUUUGGAAAGUCGUAGAUUUAAUUUUUUUAUUCUAUUCACUGUACAAAUCUUCAUAUAUUUUUUAUAGUUUUUCCUCGUUUUAAUGCCUCGUGUCUGUCAUAUUUAUAAAUAUAUUGCAAGUUUUAUCUUAUACUGUUGGAUAUAAGAUAAGCGUACAACGUAGGCUUGAUUCACAGUAGAGGGAGCAACCAUCGCUUGCAUGUGUUUGGAGAAAGAAAGCGGAGAGUUUAGGGAGCGACUAUAGUAAACAAUACGGAUAAAUAAGAGGAGUGGUAAAUGAAACAUCAAUUGAAUAUUGUCAAAAACAUUGAAAAUAUUUAUUUCGGUAUUCAUAUACAAGUACACUACACGCUUGUGGAUAUGUCCCUUAGAUCUAAAUACUUAUAUCUCCGUACAGCCGGAGGAAGGAUAAUGAAGUGUCGUGUUGGAAUCGUUUGAUCAAUGGACAACAGCCGACCAAGUCUAAGUCGCUUUACCAUACUGCAUAGGAACUGUAUUCGAAACGUCCUCGAAAAAGCUAUUUCAGGGGUACGGUUGAGGAGGAGAGACACGAUGACGAUGGUUCAGAAGAAAAGUUAUUCGUUCAUAGUUCCUUCUCCGGCCGAUAUGCUCUCUUUAACGCACGCGUUCACGACAUCUGCGCCAUUUCUUCGGCACGAGUAGGAUCGUGCUUUUUGGCAAAAGAAAAAAGAAAGUGCAGUUAUGUACAAAUAUAUUGAUUCGUGGUCGGCGUGGUCAUAUAUAGGUAACGUUUCCUCUCAUUGGGCAAGUAAUCGUGAGAUACAGAUGUAUUUUGGAAUUUGCGAGUAGAACCUGCGACGAGAUCUCACUGUACACGCACGGUUCGCGUGGCAUCCUUUCUGAUCACACAAACGUGACCGAUCACGAGUUAACAUUUUUUAUUUACAAAAGUAUCGAGGUUUCGCUUUCGAAACCACGCGCACACGCUCUCUUUCUCUCUCUCCCUCUCACGCGAUAAACGUGCUUUAAUCUCGGGUCGCUAACAAAACUCGUAGCUUUACUGCAGGACACAACAUUCAGUUUCUCGUUAUCAUUAAUAGGCACUCGUGGUAUGUUACGGCAAAUCAACUGCGGAACGGUGCACACCGAGUAAGAAUAUUGUUUGAAGCUUCCAAAUAAAUUAGCACAAUUUUUUCCGACAGUUGAUUAUACUUAUAUUCAUAAACGAGGAUACAGAAAUCGUUCAUUGAAUGUGAUCAGUAGUUUCCUCAUUUUUACUCUGAGCAAACCACGAAGACACGCGUUUGAGCGACGAUAAAGAAAAAUUAAUCGAGCAUCGAUCCGUCGGCUGUCGUUCGCAGAAAAUUCUAACAACGAUACGUAUAAACAUGCCGUAUAAAAUAUAGAAAAUUCACGCAAGGAAAAUAACGUAAAAAAUACAAACGAGUAUUAAGGGAUACGAGGGAGAGGGUGCGGGUGAGAGGGCUGUAAAAAGGAAACAAUAAAAACAGAGAUCCUUCCGCGAAUAACGCCGAUUAACGAUUAAUACAGUCUUGAGACGUGUCGUAGAAAAAUCUGAACUGCUCAGAAGCGUGUGGGGUUUACGAACGAUAUGCGUUUUGAACUUGGUUUGUUUAUUUGUCUCGAUCAUUUAUCGUUGGCGCAGUUGCUUCCCGUGACACACAAGCUAUGUAAAAAGAAAUAGUAUUCUCGAACAGGAAACAGUACACAUUUCCUUAUUCGAGAUACUACUUCUUUCCAAGUGUCUAGCUCGGAUUAAUAGUAAUAAAUAAAGAUAUGUUUUACAAAUACAGUGGCUUUAGAUUAACGUUUUGCGGUUUAUCACACUGGCGAGACGAGAAUAUCGAUUGAACUUCUUUUUUACUAAAAACGAAUUCAUGAAGCUGUUUCUUGCUUUGGUUUCUUUCGAGCGUUCCACCGAUAUUCUUCACCUUUCGUCAGAAACUUCGAAAAGACCUUCGACUUCUCUCUUCUUUCAAACGCAUAGAGCCUUCCUCGUGUAUGACACAGUCGAUAUCGAAAAAUAUGUUGAUUUAAAAAAUAUAUAUCUUCUGCAUAUGCGCAUUAUAUAUGUAUAGGGUGUCUGACUGUACCAAACUUUAAUAGAUGAAGGUAAUAUUUUGUAAUUGCAAAUUGGACAGUUUAUGAAACAUGUUCGUACAGAAUGUACUCAAGUUUGGCGCAGUCUUGGGCACCCUACGUAUGUUUCAUACACCUGUAGGCUCACGUAUUAGGAUAUCCAUAAGUAAUGUCGUUCACGCGUAAGUGUACAAGAUUAAAUAAAAGUUCGAAUUUGAAAGUGACGCGUCAAGAGGACAUCACUCGUGGAGUGAUCUAAUUUUAGACAACACGUUUCACUUGCUGGGGCCAACGUUAUCGAGGAUAUCACGAGACAUCAACGAACAACAAAAAUUAACCCGAAAUAUACACGUAUCCAUUCGCUCGUUGUCUCACUUACACGUAUAUGUACACACGCAGUCACAUUAAUCGCUAGUAGUAAAAUGUAUAAAAAGAAAAAAAGAAGACAGAAAGAUGAUCUAGAAGACGCGAGAAGAAAGACACCAACGAGAUUUGGGGAAUCGUAAAGUUGAAGUUGUUGCGGCGUGGGAUAAAAUCGUCGUCGUUAGAUCGAGUUUCAAGGAAAAGAGCGUUCGAGGACUUCUCGACGAGGACGACGGAAGAAUCAUAGGAUGAGCAAAUAAACUAAAUUCGAACGCCACGCGCAAACAUCAAUAAACACUUUUGGAGGUCUCUUUCGAGAGAAACGUUCUCUGCCAGUGGCGUUGCGCCGAAAGGAAAGAACAUAGACGAGAAUGCUACACUUUUUGGAAAAGAGAAAAGAUACCGUAACGAUGCUGGGAUUAAGUCGUUUAAGCAUAAUUGGCGGUAGUGAGAUAGCCGGUUGCGCGACCAAUUAUCGAUUUACCGAGAGAAACUUGGGACUCGUCAAUCCGAGAAUCUUCGAAGUCACUGUUUCUUUUUCCCCCGUUUUAUCGCAGUUCACGUGGUUAGUCCAAUAAGAAUAAAUAAUUACAAAAAAUGAUUAAUCAUGUUCGAAGAGUCUCGAAUUCACGCGAGUUCGUUUCUCUCGGCACUUUCGGACGAUGCGAAUCGAGUCUUGAAUUGAUUCGAAUCGUUGCGAGUCAAACGGGUACAGACCCAGCUCAAUCAGCCGCUACACGACCGUCCGAAUCAACAAAUGAACUCGCUAAUGACGAUAAUGAUAAUAAUAUUAACGAGAGAUAGCCUAAGGAAGUCUUACAGCAUAAGUUACUUAUUACACCUAGGAUCUGUCGCAUCUUUCUUAUCAUCUUAAUUCGUCCCGAUGGAGCACGAGGACCGGUGCGGCACCACCCAAUUUCGGAGAACCCCAAAACGAUGAUCGAUCCGACCGAUCCUCGCGCUCGACCGAAUUGAAAUCAAAGAAAAACCCUCCCGACAAAAGCUCCACACCGUUGCCGUUCUUUUUUCGCGCAUCUCUAGUCGAUCUAUACACAAGGAACCGUACGUGCGAUUCGUAACGCGCGACAUUGGCCGAUAGCAAAAAAAA